This 4335-nucleotide long non-coding RNA is filed under the name Homo sapiens (human). RNAcentral describes it as "non-protein coding lnc-USP16-14:4". The record is from RNAcentral. Lineage: Eukaryota; Metazoa; Chordata; Mammalia; Primates; Hominidae.
AUGCGCAGGCCUAGGAGUGGGGCUGGCGUCCCGGGCGACCAGUGUGUUGUUGUUGGGUCUUAAUUCUAAAUUUGUCAGUGGCUCUCCUUGAAAUUGCUAAGUAGACAGUUGUAUAAUCCGUGACUAUUGACAUUUGCUUUCUUCUUUGGAACAUUUAAAUUUUAUUCUGUGAACUAGAACCUGAUAGUGGGCAUUCUGAGUUGUUUUUGACUAAGUGUGUAAAUGGAACCUCCAAAUAAGAUUAAAUUGAAGAGAAAGCAUUAAAGGGCAGUAUUCCAGUGGAAUCCAUGAACAGUUUGGGCUGCCACACUCAUCUAGGGGCUGCAUCUACUAAUUGAUAUUUCAUCAUGCUAAGAAACACUUCUCAUGCCUGCAACACCUAGUAUCUAUUUCCGGUCUUGCUCUGUUGCCCAGUGUUGCCCAGGCUGGAGUACAGUGGCACCGUCACAGCUCACUGAAGCCCCGACCUCCUGUGCUCAAUCAAUCCGCUUGCUUCAGCUUCCCGAGUAAACGGUACUACAGAGACAAAGCCUCACUAUGUUGCCCAAGCUGGUCUCAAAUUCCUGGACUUGGGCGAUCCUCUGCCUCAGCCUUCCAAAAUGCUGGAAUUACAGGUGAGCCACCAUGCCCAGCCCUUAACGUCUUUAAACUGUCAUUUUCUCAUUUGUUGAAUGAAUAUCACAAUAGUACCCACCUCAUAGGGUAGUUCUGGGGAUUAAAUAAAAUAUUUAGUUAAAAUCUUGGCACAUUGUAAGCACUCCAUAAGUGUUACCUACUUUUGGUAUUAUCAUUGUUGUUAUAACGAUUAUUAUUAUUGGCGUAUAGGUUGGCAAUAGAAAAUUAUAACCCUCAUGCUUAAUUCAGCCCUAAUUAGAAAUUAUAACUGAAUCUAGCAGCUGCGAGCGGCAGCAGUUUAAUGAAGAACGAGUUGUCAUAAAAUUUAAAUUAUAUCUAUCCAUAGCUAGUUUCUAUUUGUAAUUGAGUUUUUUCCAAGUUUGUUUGUUACAAAUGGAAAAGAGCUUUGCUGUAAUCAUAAGAGAUUUGAUUUAACAGUUCUAAAGCCCGCUGACCUGAUUGUGGAGGUUCUGACUUUAAAUAUGUAAAGCAGCCUGUGUGCUUGCCAUCCUUGUUUGUUGCUUAAAAAAAAUUAUAUUUUCUUAUUAUGUUGGUUAAGGAAAAUUAUAUUUGUUAGAAUAUGUUUGUUGUAGAAAUUAAACUUACCCAUCAAGCCUUAUGCUGUACACCCCAGCACUCCAACCAUUAACUUGCUAUCCGCAGUUUUUGAUUUGCAUCUGUGACUUCACUAGAAUCUUAGUGGCCUUUGUCUCUACCAGUGUAUUUGUAAUAAACUAAAUUAUCCUCAGAGACUUAAUUGGUAACAUAAGUGCAAGACUUUGCCUCUGAAAAUACAGCUUUUAGAAAUAACAUUAUGCCUUUAUAAGGUGUAUUCCAAGGAAGACAAAUAUGUAAACAUUCUUCAUGUCAUCAGAGUUUAUAGUAUUUUUCUGGAGUGGAAGGUUAUUAUUCCUAUUUUCCCAAAAAGUACCAGGGGGUCAGUGACUUCUUCCAGGUCAAUAGCUUCUGUCUGGAAUUACCAAGACCAUAACUUGAAUCACCUAUUGCAAAUUCCCUUUCUAGUCCAUAACAUUGUUGUGCAAAAUUGAAAUACUUAUGUGACACCAAAACAAAAACGAAAACCAAACAAACCCAAAAACCAAAAUCCCAAAACCCCCCAAAAAACUAACACAAAAAACUAAACUAAAAAACCUAAUAAAUCCUAAGUCAGGUGGAAACACUUCAAAUAGUUUCUGGAUGUGAGAGCUUCUCAGAAGCUAAUAAAGAUUCCUGGCUCUAUUGGAUGGAAUGCUAAGAAGCUAUUUUGGUUGGAUUGGGAACAUUUAUUAAUGUCUUCAUGUGAGCAGCAGUAAAAGUGUACUACCUAUUAAAAGUUACCUAUUUGCUUAUUUUGCCCACCAUUUUCAGAUAUGAGCUUCUGACAUUUCAACAAAACUAAUGACCAGCUUGUUUUGGGUAACCAGUUUCUUGCAGUUGAUUAUUAUCCCCCAGAAAUCCCUCUGUGCCAAGUCUUGUAGCCAAAACAGUUAUUUAACCCAAGUACAGUCAUGUGCCGAAUAAUGAUGUUUCAGCCAACAAUGACCGCAUUUAAGACAGUGGUCCCAUAAGAUUAUAACAGAACAUAAACAGAAACCUGAUAUGUAACACUUGAUAUUGGCACUGCAGAUUAAGCAGGGGAAAUGACCGAUAAUUCAGUUAAGGUUCUGAGACAUUUGGUUUUCCAUAUGAAAAAUAUGUAUAAAUUAAAUAUAUAUGUAUACAUAUACCAUCAAUGUUUGUGUAAGUAUACUCUGAUAUUUGCACAAUGACAAAAUGGUCUAAUGUCACAUUUCUCAGAACAUAUCUCCAUCAUUAAGCAACAUAUGCCAGGAAUAAUUAUGAAUAGGUAUAAUAACUGCAAAAAGUCAUGUAAAAUAGAUGGAACUGCCAGUGCUGAACAAAUGAAGAGGAUAAAUGAAUGGUUUCUAUGUAAAAGGUAAAUGAAUGUCAGUAAGAAAUAGCACUCUCAUGCUUCCAUUUGCCAGAAGUAUCACCUUUGGUUGGUUGUGGGUAAUGUCAAUUAUUGAAAUAAUUAAGUGAAUAUGGAAUCCAGAGACUAAAAUACUGAGCGAUCAAUCAGUGUGUAUGACAAACCCUUCUGUGUAUAGAAACAUAGAUUCUAUGGGAGGUGAAGGCAUGUCUGAGGCACAGCUAUGGUUUCAAAAGACUUUAUAGUUUGAUUUAUAAAGCAAUAUUUGAUACAGAAAUACCAGAACUUUAGAGCUGGAAUAAAAUAGAGGAAGUUUCUGUUUUUGUUUUGUUUUUUGACAUGGAGUCGUCUCACUCUGUCACCCAGGCUGGAUGGAGUGCAGUGGCGUGAACUCGGCUCACUGCAACCUCUGAGUUCAAAUGAUUCUCCUGCCUUAGCCACACGAGUAGCUGGAAUUAUAGGGGUGUGCCACCAUGCGGGGCUUUUAUUCUUUGUAUUUUUAGUAGAGAUGGGGUUUCACUAUGUUGGUCAGGCUGGUCUUGCACUCCUGACCUCAAGUGAUCCCCCACCUAGGCCUACCAAAGUAGGGAUUACAGGCAUGAACUAUCGCGCCUGGCCUAAAAUAAAAAGAAAUUGUAAAACUAGAAGAGAACUUAGAGAUCACCUAGCCCGAGAAAUUGUAAAACUAGAAGAGAACUUAGAGAUCACCUAGCCCGAGAAAUUGUAAAACUAGAAGAGAACUUAGAGAUCACCUAGCCUAAUACUCAUGGUUAAAGAGGUAAUUUAGUGAGAACUUAAAAUGCAAGCUAUAAUUUUAGCUUAUAUCACAGGCCCAUUCCUUCUCUUAUAUAUUUUUUAUUUUCCGCCUUCAUAUUGAGCAUGUGCCAGUUCAUUGAUGUUACCACUUCUCAAGCUAAAAGUAUCAUCUGCAUGUCACCCAGUGAUGGCAAUGGACCCGGUCACAGUGAUUCAAGGGUCCCCAAAAAGGGUGCUGUCCUUGUCCAUUGAUGACUGAGGAAGGGGUGCUUCUUUUCUGCCUAUUCUGACACCAUAUUAUCUGUGGUGGUACCAAAGCUACUGGACACUCCUGAUGGCAAGAGGUGUAAACCCAAAUGCAGAUGAAUGAAGGAAGAAAAAAGACAAUCAAAGCUGUGCUGUAAAGGAGACAGACAGCCCCCAACCCCCUGCCCUGAAAAGGAGAGCUAUAUUGUCAGCCACCCGAAAAAAGGCAUGACCAGUGGACUUCAGGAUCAAUGUGGUCAGAUGUCUUUUUUUUUUUUUAAGAGAUGGAAUCUUGCUGUAUUGCCCCGGUUGGAGUGCAGUGGCUAUUCACAGGCACUAUUAUAGCACACUAUAGCCUUGAUCUCCUGGUCUCAAGUUGCCCUCCUGCCUUAACCUCCUGGGUAGCUGGAACUACAGGCACAUGCCACCACACCCGACCAGAAUUUUUUUUUUUAACAGAGUCUCACCUUGUUGCCCAGGCUAGAGUGCAGCUUGUUUUAAGUGUUCUAUAGCUCCAUUAGUAUGAAAUAUCUGUGUGUAAAUUGAUAACGACAAAGCUAUUUUGAUUGACAAAGUAUCAGACUUUGGAUAAAAUCAUAAAUUAUAUAGAUAUCGCAAUCAAUUUCAAAUUCAUUUUGGCAUCAUAACUUUCUUAAGUUAGAAAGAACACCAUAUUUAGCAUAUAAUCUAUACAUGCAUUACCUGCAUUGUGGGGAUUUUAAGCAUGUCCAUACAUUCUUUGACACCUCUCUGUCCAAAAUGUGAAGUCUACUUCUCUAGCACCUGAG